RNAcentral lists this transfer RNA (49 nucleotides) under Microhyla ornata (ornate rice frog). RNAcentral describes it as "partial tRNA-Val". The record is from RNAcentral. Lineage: Eukaryota; Metazoa; Chordata; Amphibia; Anura; Microhylidae.
ACAUUUCGCUUACACCGAAAACAUAUCUGUUUAACUCAGAUCAUUUUGA